RNAcentral lists this ribosomal RNA (495 nucleotides) under uncultured bacterium. RNAcentral describes it as "partial 16S ribosomal RNA". It matches the Rfam family "Bacterial small subunit ribosomal RNA", at positions 28 to 507 of the family's 1533-position model. The record is from RNAcentral.
GACGAACGCUGGCGGCGUGCCUAAUACAUGCAAGUAGAACGCUGAAGGAGGAGCUUGCUUCUCUGGAUGAGUUGCGAACGGGUGAGUAACGCGUAGGUAACCUGCCUGGUAGCGGGGGAUAACUAUUGGAAACGAUAGCUAAUACCGCAUAACAGUAGAUAUCGCAUGAUAUCUACUUGAAAGGUGCAAUUGCAUCACUACCAGAUGGACCUGCGUUGUAUUAGCUAGUUGGUGAGGUAACGGCUCACCAAGGCGACGAUACAUAGCCGACCUGAGAGGGUGAUCGGCCACACUGGGACUGAGACACGGCCCAGACGCCUACGGGAGGCAGCAGUAGGGAAUCUUCGGCAAUGGACGGAAGUCUGACCGAGCAACGCCGCGUGAGUGAAGAAGGUUUUCGGAUCGUAAAGCUCUGUUGUAAGAGAAGAACGAGUGUGAGAGUGGAAAGUUCACACUGUGACGGUAUCUUACCAGAAAGGGACGGCUAACUACGUG